UUGGGAAUCUUGCACAAUGGGGGCAACCCUGAUGCAGCGACGCCGCGUGGAGGAUGAAGGAUCUAGGUCUGUAAACUCCUUUUUCACGGAAAGACUUAGGACGGUACCGUGAGAAUAAGCUCCGGCUAACUACGUGCCAGCAGCCGCGGUAAGACGUAGGGAGCAAGCGUUGUCCGGAUUUACUGGGCGUAAAGGGCGCGUAGGCGGUCUGUUAAGUGUGAAGUGAAAUCUCCAGGGCUCAACCCGGAAACCGCUUCGCAUACUGGCAGACUGGAGGAAGGCAGAGGUAACUGGAAUUCCUGGUGUAGCGGUGAAAUGCGUUGAUAUCAGGAGGAACUCCAAUGGCGAAGGCAGGUUACUGGGCCUUAUCUGACGCUGAGGCGCGAAAGCGUGGGUAGCAAACAGG
This 406-nucleotide ribosomal RNA is filed under the name uncultured bacterium. RNAcentral's name for it is "bacterial SSU rRNA". It matches the Rfam family "Bacterial small subunit ribosomal RNA", at positions 355 to 776 of the family's 1533-position model. The record is from RNAcentral.